Molecule: transfer RNA, 81 nt
Filed under: Sinofranchetia chinensis
Lineage: Eukaryota; Viridiplantae; Streptophyta; Magnoliopsida; Ranunculales; Lardizabalaceae
Description: tRNA-Ile
Source: RNAcentral
UGUUUAGAUAGUGAAUGGAGUUCUUCCAUUGAUACUGGAAAAAUUGUCUCCUUUCUUUUGUUCCAGUCAUGAUCUGAACGA